UGAUAUGAACCGUUAUAACCGGCGAUUUCCGAAUGGGGAAACCCAGUGUGAUUCGUCACACUAUCAUUAACUGAAUCCAUAGGUUAAUGAGGCGAACCGGGGGAACUGAAACAUCUAAGUACCCCGAGGAAAAGAAAUCAACCGAGAUUCCCCCAGUAGCGGCGAGCGAACGGGGAGGAGCCCAGAGCCUGAAUCAGUGUGUGUGUUAGUGGAAGCGUCUGGAAAGGCGCGCGAUACAGGGUGACAGCCCCGUACACAAAAAUGCACAUAUUGUGAGCUCGAUGAGUAGGGCGGGACACGUGGUAUCCUGUCUGAAUAUGGGGGGACCAUCCUCCAAGGCUAAAUACUCCUGACUGACCGAUAGUGAACCAGUACCGUGAGGGAAAGGCGAAAAGAACCCCGGCGAGGGGAGUGAAAAAGAACCUGAAACCGUGUACGUACAAGCAGUGGGAGCACGCUUAGGCGUGUGACUGCGUACCUUUUGUAUAAUGGGUCAGCGACUUAUAUUCUGUAGCAAGGUUAACCGAAUAGGGGAGCCGAAGGGAAACCGAGUCUUAACUGGGCGUUAAGUUGCAGGGUAUAGACCCGAAACCCGGUGAUCUAGCCAUGGGCAGGUUGAAGGUUGGGUAACACUAACUGGAGGACCGAACCGACUAAUGUUGAAAAAUUAGCGGAUGACUUGUGGCUGGGGGUGAAAGGCCAAUCAAACCGGGAGAUAGCUGGUUCUCCCCGAAAGCUAUUUAGGUAGCGCCUCGUGAAUUCAUCUCCGGGGGUAGAGCACUGUUUCGGCAAGGGGGUCAUCCCGACUUACCAACCCGAUGCAAACUGCGAAUACCGGAGAAUGUUAUCACGGGAGACACACGGCGGGUGCUAACGUCCGUCGUGAAGAGGGAAACAACCCAGACCGCCAGCUAAGGUCCCAAAGUCAUGGUUAAGUGGGAAACGAUGUGGGAAGGCCCAGACAGCCAGGAUGUUGGCUUAGAAGCAGCCAUCAUUUAAAGAAAGCGUAAUAGCUCACUGGUCGAGUCGGCCUGCGCGGAAGAUGUAACGGGGCUAAACCAUGCACCGAAGCUGCGGCAGCGACGCUUAUGCGUUGUUGGGUAGGGGAGCGUUCUGUAAGCCUGCGAAGGUGUGCUGUGAGGCAUGCUGGAGGUAUCAGAAGUGCGAAUGCUGACAUAAGUAACGAUAAAGCGGGUGAAAAGCCCGCUCGCCGGAAGACCAAGGGUUCCUGUCCAACGUUAAUCGGGGCAGGGUGAGUCGACCCCUAAGGCGAGGCCGAAAGGCGUAGUCGAUGGGAAACAGGUUAAUAUUCCUGUACUUGGUGUUACUGCGAAGGGGGGACGGAGAAGGCUAUGUUGGCCGGGCGACGGUUGUCCCGGUUUAAGCGUGUAGGCUGGUUUUCCAGGCAAAUCCGGAAAAUCAAGGCUGAGGCGUGAUGACGAGGCACUACGGUGCUGAAGCAACAAAUGCCCUGCUUCCAGGAAAAGCCUCUAAGCAUCAGGUAACAUCAAAUCGUACCCCAAACCGACACAGGUGGUCAGGUAGAGAAUACCAAGGCGCUUGAGAGAACUCGGGUGAAGGAACUAGGCAAAAUGGUGCCGUAAC
RNAcentral lists this ribosomal RNA (1605 nucleotides) under Escherichia coli. Its description in RNAcentral is "partial 23S ribosomal RNA". It matches the Rfam family "Bacterial large subunit ribosomal RNA", at positions 87 to 1734 of the family's 2925-position model. Lineage: Bacteria; Pseudomonadati; Pseudomonadota; Gammaproteobacteria; Enterobacterales; Enterobacteriaceae. The record is from RNAcentral.